AAAAUCGUAGGCGUCUCGCCACGGGUUCGAUUCCCGGCCUCCCCCCACUGAAUGACAGGCAGGGGAGGUCCCGAGAAGGGUCGUGUUCGGACCCGGACGGGGCGCCCAGCCCCAGUGUCUGAGCAGGCGGCUCAG
This 135-nucleotide small RNA is filed under the name Eutreptiella gymnastica. RNAcentral describes it as "partial Betaproteobacteria transfer-messenger RNA". Lineage: Eukaryota; Euglenozoa; Euglenophyceae; Eutreptiales; Eutreptiaceae. The record is from RNAcentral.